This 492-nucleotide ribosomal RNA is filed under the name uncultured bacterium. RNAcentral's name for it is "partial 16S ribosomal RNA". It matches the Rfam family "Bacterial small subunit ribosomal RNA", at positions 29 to 507 of the family's 1533-position model. The record is from RNAcentral.
AGUGAGCGCUGGCGGUAGGCCUAACACAUGCAAGUCGAACGGCAGCACAGUAAGAGCUUGCUCUUACGGGUGGCGAGUGGCGGACGGGUGAGGAAUACAUCGGAAUCUACUUUUUCGUGGGGGAUAACGUAGGGAAACUUACGCUAAUACCGCAUACGACCUACGGGUGAAAGCAGGGGAUCUUCGGACCUUGCGCGAUUGAAUGAGCCGAUGUCGGAUUAGCUAGUUGGCGGGGUAAAGGCCCACCAAGGCGACGAUCCGUAGCUGGUCUGAGAGGAUGAUCAGCCACACUGGAACAGAGACACGGUCCAGACUCCUACGGGAGGCAGCAGUGGGGAAUAUUGGACAAUGGGCGCAAGCCUGAUCCAGCCAUACCGCGUGGGUGAAGAAGGCCUUCGGGUUGUAAAGCCCUUUUGUUGGGAAAGAAAAGCAGCAGGUUAAUACCCCGCUGUUCUGACGGUACCCAAAGAAUAAGCACCGGCUAACUUCGUG